This 214-nucleotide long non-coding RNA is filed under the name Lathyrus oleraceus (garden pea). Its description in RNAcentral is "Pisum sativum (pea) long non-coding RNA (PSAT_LNC001298)". Lineage: Eukaryota; Viridiplantae; Streptophyta; Magnoliopsida; Fabales; Fabaceae. The record is from RNAcentral.
UGUGUGUCUUCCACUAGUGCAGAUUGAUGUUAUCCUGGGUAUGAACUGGUUGGUGUUUAACCGAGUUUAUAUCAACUGUUUUGAUAAGAUUGUGAUCUUUCUUGAGAUUGAGGAAGGAAAGAGUUUAUUUCUAUCAGCAAGGCAGGUGAAUGAGGCAGUAGCAGAUGGGGCAGAGUUGUUCAUGCUGUUAGCUACUAUGGAGGCUAAAGAUAAA